GAAGUCCGUCAGGCCGUCGCUGGUGCAAGUCCCGAAAGGGCGCACUGGAGGAACGUCCGGACUGCGCAGGACAGCGUAGGAGGUAACCCCUCUCCACCGUGAGGUGAGGAUCAGAGCAACAGAGACGAGCCGAUUGAGUUCGGGUGAAACGGGCAAUCUCUACGCGCAGCAAUGCCAAGUAGGCCAGCGUUGACGUGGUUCCGCGGAGCUGGCGGGUAGGCAGCAUCGAGCCGGGUAGGCGACUCCCGGCCCAGAGUAAUGACGGUCACGCCCGGCUUGCCGGGUGCACAGAAUCCGGCGUAUCGACGGGCUUCACUU
Molecule: RNase P RNA, 318 nt
Filed under: Limnohabitans sp.
Lineage: Bacteria; Pseudomonadati; Pseudomonadota; Betaproteobacteria; Burkholderiales; Comamonadaceae
Description: RNase P RNA component class A
Rfam family: Bacterial RNase P class A
About the family: Ribonuclease P (RNase P) is a ubiquitous endoribonuclease, found in archaea, bacteria and eukarya as well as chloroplasts and mitochondria. Its best characterised activity is the generation of mature 5'-ends of tRNAs by cleaving the 5'-leader elements of precursor-tRNAs.
Source: RNAcentral